Molecule: long non-coding RNA, 1229 nt
Organism: Gasterosteus aculeatus aculeatus (three-spined stickleback)
Lineage: Eukaryota; Metazoa; Chordata; Actinopteri; Perciformes; Gasterosteidae
Source: Ensembl
UGAAAACAGUCAAAAUAAAUAGUAUUUUUGAUGAUAUUGUUUUCUGUUGUAGCUGUGCAGCUAAAAAAAAAGGAGCUAUAAAGACAAACAGAGACAGGGAUUUAUUAAAUACAAAGAAUACAAACACCUUUGACAAACAUAUAAAUAAAAGCUGUUUGCAUGGUAUCCAGUGACAGCAGGACAUGCUGGAAGUGGCUGCGUCUCAUGUGGGGAACGUCUGGGCGUUUGGUGGCAGCUCGGGAACCAGCCGAUCAUGUGUGUAUAUGUCCUCUGUUCUGAGAAGAGAAAAGACAUGCAAACGUGUUCCUGAACCCACACGCAUGAUUGUGUUUCUGUGAAUCACAGUGACGCUGCGUUAGACAAAGGCGACCUCCUCCACCACCUCCAAUGCAACCACCAGGUUCCUCCUCACUGCGGGAGACAAACACAAGAACAUAAACCAACAGGAACAUCCUGUAUCUUCUCACCAGGUCCAAACUCAGGUUUGAGGGACGUCUGGUGGACGAUGAUGUUUUUAAAAAUAUUAUCAGAUUGUGCACGUGGCUCCUCACCUCCGUAGACGUAUGGACAUCCAGGCCAGCAGGGAGCUGGACCUCCCGCCCCCUUCUGCCCGCAGACACAGACGCAGCCCCGGGUCUCCAUCCGUGGACCCUCCCAGCAACGACCACCGCCAUCCCUCACAGUCCGGGGCCGGGGAGCCCCAGGACCCCCCGCCGCCGGUCCGUAGCCGCCGGGGAUCCCAGAGAGGGUUGGAGGUCGGGGCGUUGACCACUGAGCCUCGACAGCUUGACCCACGUCACCAUGGCAACCUGAGGGAGGCAGGGGAGGAGCUAGCUGCCAGAUAAAACCAACACGAAUUCUAUCAAGAUCAUUUUUACCAAUUGAGGAUUUUUGCUGAUUUUUACCAAUUAAAUUUAAAACAGAAAAGAUUGAUUUUGGAGAGACUGUUUAGAGUUCUUUAAGCAUCUUCAUCAGCAGCUGAUGUGAGGAAUAUUUUAUUUUACAUGAGGUGAAACUGUGAGGAUUAAGCAGUAAAGCUGUAAAUUGGAAUGAAAUUGAAAAACCAAAACCAAAGGAAAUGAGAAAUGAUUAAUUCAAUCAAACAACUUAUGGAGAACAAGCAUGCUGUGAUGAUGUUGGGGAUGGCGUUGCCUUUUUGAGGGAUCUUGUCACAAAUGUAAAAUUGUCCAGUCUAUAGUUAUUGUUUGCUUCAUUUAAUAAACGUAUCU